This 520-nucleotide ribosomal RNA is filed under the name uncultured Entrophospora. RNAcentral's name for it is "SSU rRNA". It matches the Rfam family "Eukaryotic small subunit ribosomal RNA", at positions 569 to 1084 of the family's 1831-position model. Lineage: Eukaryota; Fungi; Glomeromycota; Glomeromycetes; Entrophosporales; Entrophosporaceae. The record is from RNAcentral.
AGCAGCCGCGGUAAUUCCAGCUCCAAUAGCGUAUAUUAAAGUUGUUGCAGUUAAAAAGCUCGUAGUUGAAUUUCGGGAUUGACCCAUCGGUCGUGCCCUAAGGGGUAUGAACUGGUGUAGUCAAUUUCUCACCUUCUGGAGAACCGUGAUGUCCUUAAUUGGGUGCCACGAGGAACCAGGACCUUUACUUUGAAAAAAUUAGAGUGUUUAAAGCAGGCAUUUUUGCUUGAAUACAUUAGCAUGGAAUAAUAAAAUAGGACGGCAUGAUUCUAUUUUGUUGGUUUCUAGGAUCACCGUAAUGAUUAAUAGGGAUAGUUGGGGGCAUUAGUAUUCAAUUGUCAGAGGUGAAAUUCUUGGAUUUAUUGAAGACUAACUACUGCGAAAGCAUUUGCCAAGGAUGUUUUCAUUAAUCAAGAACGAAAGUUAGGGAUCGAAGACGAUCAGAUACCGUCGUAGUCUUAACCAUAAACUAUGCCGACCAGGAAUCAGACGAUGUUAAUUUUUAAUGUACUCGUUUGGC